GAUGAGGUGACUGAGUGGUUAAGGUGCUGAACUGCUAAUCCAUUGUGCUUUGCACUCGUGGGUUGGAAUCCCAUUCUCGUCG
Non-coding RNA from Albula glossodonta (roundjaw bonefish), 82 nucleotides. NCBI's taxonomy places the organism in Eukaryota, Metazoa, Chordata, Actinopteri, Albuliformes, Albulidae. The record is from the annotation of a GenBank genome assembly.